This 464-nucleotide ribosomal RNA is filed under the name uncultured bacterium. RNAcentral describes it as "partial 16S ribosomal RNA". It matches the Rfam family "Bacterial small subunit ribosomal RNA", at positions 29 to 507 of the family's 1533-position model. The record is from RNAcentral.
ACGAACGCUGGCGGCGUGCUUAACACAUGCCAGUCGAACGGAAAGGCCCCUUUGGGGGUACUCGAGUGGCGAACGGGUGAGUAACACGUGAGUAACCUGCCCUUGACUUCGGGAUAACUUCAGGAAACUGGGGCUAAUACCGGAUAGGAAUCCUUGCUGCAUGGUGGGGGUUGGAAAGCUUCGGCGGUUUUGGAUGGACUCGCGGCUUAUCAGCUUGUUGGUGGGGUAGUGGCUUACCAAGGCUUUGACGGGUAGCCGGCCUGAGAGGGCGACCGGCCACAUUGGGACUGAGAUACGGCCCAGACUCCUACGGGAGGCAGCAGUGGGGAAUAUUGCACAAUGGGCGGAAGCCUGAUGCAGCAACGCCGCGUGCGGGAGGACGGCCUUCGGGUUGUAAACCGCUUUCAGCAGGGGCGAAGCUUGUGGUGACGGUACCUGCAGAAGAAGCACCGGCUAACUACGUG